Molecule: long non-coding RNA, 2260 nt
Organism: Equus asinus (donkey)
Lineage: Eukaryota; Metazoa; Chordata; Mammalia; Perissodactyla; Equidae
Source: Ensembl
UUUCAAAUGGCUCCUUUUCCCCUCCCCCUCGGAAGCCCAAGGGGAUUCUGCUCAGAUAUUUACUGUGAGAACUCCACCAAGUUCUUGGAGGUAAAACUCACAUAAGUUUGGGGCCCUCCCUAAGACUUGGUCCCCCUGAAGUUUUUAACUUUCAGACUUGUCCACAUUGAGUCUUCUUUAAUUCAUUAAUCACAGUGCAGGUUUUCCUCCCCCUGCACUGGUUCCCACAGCAGUAUCCACUGAAGACUGCUCAGUUUUUUAGUUGUGGUUAGGACCACGUGGCGAUUUCCAAGCUCCUUAGAUGUGGAAGUGGAAACUACACUCCUGAGUUUCUUGCCUGGCUGGAGGCAUUUAUGAAUCUCCAGGUUUCCUGGGUCCCAGCUCCUGGUAACUGUUACUGAGCCCUAAAGGACCGGUGAACCGCAAGUGGGUCCUGUUGCCCAGAGCUGCUCGCGCCAGUAGGAGAGCGGGUUCAAGCAGCAGAGCGGAAACUUUAUUCGUUGAUCAAUGAAUGGAGGAGGCAGAGCUCAUGCUCUAAAAACACCUUCUCCUCAAAGGGAAGCUUGGAGGUGGAGAAAAGUGCCAGGGACAAGGCCAUGAAGAAUUUGUUUGGUGCCAGCCACAGGGGUGAAGGUGAGGUGAAGCCACACAUUCUUCAUCUCCAAGGAGCCAGGGUCCAGGAAGAGUCCAAGACCGGGCAUCCUCAUGCCACCCAAAACGAGCUCAUUAUGCCUAAGGAUUCAACUACCACCUGUAUUAUGCACGAUGACUCUCAAACCUAUACGUCCAUCCAGACCUCUCUGAUGAGCUGAGAACAUCUCCAACUACAUUCUCAACAGCCACACCAACUUGUGACCUCCCUGACCAAUCUGCUUCUCAAAGCUGAAACCCGGGCGUCCCUCACUUUGCAAUCCAAUGGUCACCAAGUCAUGUUAUCUGUCUCCUCCUUUGCACUUUACUUGGGGCCUUGAUUGCCUCUUUACUGGAUUAUUUUAACACUCUUUUUACUCAUCUCUUAGGACCCAAGCUUCUUCCUGCUUCAAGUCUAAGUUCUAAAAUAUGGCUAUGAUCACAUCAUCUUUCUCUUCUACUUCACAUCCUUCAAUGGUUUUCCAAUAACCUACAGGAUGAAGUUCUAAGUCCUCAGUAUGGUGAUCCAUGCCACUGAUGAUAUGACCCCACAUGGCCUCUCCAACCUCAUUUCUGACCACUUUGUAAUUGCUAUCUGGUGUUCCAGUAUCACAGAACAUUCACUGCACUUCCCUGAAUCCAUAAUGUGGUUUAACACUUGCUGUUGCCUUUGACUGGCAUGUCCUUCCCUACUGAUAUACCUGGAGACCACCCACCCUUCAACCCAAAGCUCAGGGCUUACUUCCUUGCUGAGAUGUUCUCUGACUCCUUCCCCUCAUCCUUUCCACGGCCCUUCCUCUUGGCUAUCACUGUGCCUUGCUUAUGCAUUUCUUUUUGUUCCUGUCUCGCAUGACUUUCUUUAUUCACGUAUCUGAAUCCCAUCUUUGUGUCUUAUCAUCUUUGUGUCAUGAGUACUUAACACGAGGCCCUCACAAUAGACACGCCUAAUGAUAUUUCUGAAUGAACAAAUGAAUGAAUGAAGGAGCCAUGCUAGACAGAUGGCAUCUGUCCUAUUUAUGAUCAAAAUUACCCCCAAGGAGUUGUAAUUCUUUGAUGAGUUUCUCAUUCCUCUCUUCAAAUAAGUUUCUAUCUUCCGCCAGCUGCUGAAGCUCUUUGAAUGCUUUAAAAUGCAGAAUUCAAAAUUGGCUGCCAAGAAAUGCCACUUCAUUUCCUUUCUAGAAUAGCAUAAUUUUCCCCAUGGCCCAGGCAAAACAGCAACCCUUGGCUAAUGUUUCAUAAAAAGGGAUUUUUUUCAGGGAAAAGGGGUUAACUAGAGAGGAAUUUAUCUUGGCUCAUUUCCGCCAUGUUUGCUCCCUAGGUGUUCCUGUCCAGGUGUGAGGACUCUUUCCUGUCUAGACACAGGGGCGGGUCAUUCCAGGUCAGGCUUUUAAUCUGAUGGUGACCCCACCUCAGGAAGUGCCAGGACCCUGUGAACCUUGCAGGCUCCCACAAUGUAGUCAUAGAUCUAGGUGAGGACCACAAUUUACAAGGCGUUUCUCUCUCCAACAGAGAGCAGAUUAGUCAUCUUUCUAAAAAUAGAAGGAGCAGGCACACAGGGGCACUUAUCUUCACUGGGAGCCCAGCCAGCAAAGCCCGUAGACCGACUGGAAGAGUUGGGUUAAGAUGAGCC